RNAcentral lists this ribosomal RNA (507 nucleotides) under uncultured bacterium. RNAcentral describes it as "partial 16S ribosomal RNA". It matches the Rfam family "Bacterial small subunit ribosomal RNA", at positions 28 to 507 of the family's 1533-position model. The record is from RNAcentral.
GACGAACGCUGGCGGCGUGCCUAAUACAUGCAAGUCGAACGCAUUUUCUUUCACCGUAGCUUGCUACACCGAAAGAAAAUGAGUGGCGAACGGGUGAGUAACACGUGGGUAACCUGCCCAUCAGCGGGGGAUAACACUUGGAAACAGGAGCUAAUACCGCAUAAUUCCAUUUACCGCAGGGCAGAUGGAUGAAAGGCGCUUUUGCGUCACUGAUGGAUGGACCCGCGGUGCAUUUGCUAGUUGGUGGGGUAACGGCCUACCAAGGCUGCGAUGCAUAGCCGACCUGAGAGGGUGGUCGGCCACACUGGGACUGGGACACGGCCCAGACUCCUACGGGGGGCAGCAGUAGGGGAUCUUCGGCAAUGGACGCAAGUCUGACCGAGCCACGCCGCGUGAGUGAAGAAGGUUUUCGGAUCGUAAAACUCUGUUGUUAGAGAAGAACAAGGAUGAGAGUGGAAAGUUCAUCCCUUGACGGUAUCUAACCAGAAAGCCACGGCUAACUACGUG